Molecule: ribosomal RNA, 501 nt
Filed under: uncultured bacterium
Lineage: Bacteria
Description: partial 16S ribosomal RNA
Rfam family: Bacterial small subunit ribosomal RNA
Source: RNAcentral
AUUGAACGCUGGCGGCAUGCCUUACACAUGCAAGUCGAACGGCAGCACGGGUGCUUGCACCUGGUGGCGAGUGGCGAACGGGUGAGUAAUACAUCGGAACGUACCUUAUCGUGGGGGAUAACGCAGCGAAAGUUGCGCUAAUACCGCAUACGCCCUGAGGGGGAAAGCGGGGGACCGUAAGGCCUCGCGCGAUUAGAGCGGCCGAUGUCUGAUUAGCUUGUUGGGGAGGUAAAAGCUCACCAAGGCGAUGAUCAGUAGCUGGUCUGAGAGGACGAUCCGCCAACGUGGGACUGAGACACGGCCCAGACUCCUACGGGAGGCAGCAGUGGGGAAUUUUGGAAAAUGGGGGCAACCCUGAUCCAGCAAUGCCGCGUGAGUGAAGAAGGCCUUCGGGUUGUAAAGCUCUUUUGUCAGGGAAGAAACAGCAGCUCUAACACAGUCUGCGAAUGGCGGUACCUGAAGAAUAAGCACCGGCUAACUACGUGCCAGCAGCCGCGGUAA